AAUCCAUAGGUUAAUGAGGCGAACCGGGGGAACUGAAACAUCUAAGUACCCCGAGGAAAAGAAAUCAACCGAGAUUCCCCCAGUAGCGGCGAGCGAACGGGGAGGAGCCCAGAGCCUGAAUCAGCAUGUGUGUUAGUGGAAGCGUCUGGAAAGGCGCGCGAUACAGGGUGACAGCCCCGUACACAAAAGCGCAUGUGCUGUGAGCUCGAUGAGUAGGGCGGGACACGUGGUAUCCUGUCUGAAUAUGGGGGGACCAUCCUCCAAGGCUAAAUACUCCUGACUGACCGAUAGUGAACCAGUACCGUGAGGGAAAGGCGAAAAGAACCCCGGCGAGGGGAGUGAAAAAGAACCUGAAACCGUGUACGUACAAGCAGUGGGAGCCCCACCACCAAAGCAUUUGCUGUACCGCGUUGACGGAGCGAAGCGACGUCAAACCGAUAAAACAGCAGUGUAAAGUGAGCCGCAGGGCGCUUUGCGCGACAGCGCAAAGGCAGGCGGUUUCGCGUAGCGAAAGCGAAUGCUUUGGGGUGGGGUGACUGCGUACCUUUUGUAUAAUGGGUCAGCGACUUAUAUUCUGUAGCAAGGUUAACCGAAUAGGGGAGCCGGAGGGAAACCGAGUCUUAAU
This 625-nucleotide ribosomal RNA is filed under the name Salmonella enterica subsp. enterica serovar Enteritidis. RNAcentral's name for it is "partial 23S ribosomal RNA". It matches the Rfam family "Bacterial large subunit ribosomal RNA", at positions 161 to 688 of the family's 2925-position model. Lineage: Bacteria; Pseudomonadati; Pseudomonadota; Gammaproteobacteria; Enterobacterales; Enterobacteriaceae. The record is from RNAcentral.